CCUACGGGUGGCAGCAGUAGGGAAUCUUCCACAAUGGGCGAAAGCCUGAUGGAGCAACGCCGCGUGGGUGAAGAAGGUCUUCGGAUCGUAAAACCCUGUUGUUAGAGAAGAAAGUGCGGGAGAGUAACUGUUCACGUUUCGACGGUAUCUAACCAGAAAGCCACGGCUAACUACGUGCCAGCAGCCGCGGUAAUACGUAGGUGGCAAGCGUUUUCCGGAUUUAUGGGGCGUAAAGGGAACGCAGGCGGGCUUUUAAGUCUGAUGUGAAAGCCUUCGGCUUAACCGGAGUAGUGCAUUGGAAACUGGGAGACUUGAGUGCAGAAGAGGAGAGUGGAACUCCAUGUGUAGCGGUGAAAUGCGUAGAUAUAUAGAAGAACACCAGUGGCGAAAGCGGCUUUCUGGUCUGUAACUGACGCUGAGGUUCGAAAGCGUGGGUAGCAAACAGGAUUAGAUACCCCAGUAGUC
RNAcentral lists this ribosomal RNA (465 nucleotides) under uncultured bacterium. RNAcentral describes it as "partial 16S ribosomal RNA". It matches the Rfam family "Bacterial small subunit ribosomal RNA", at positions 338 to 795 of the family's 1533-position model. The record is from RNAcentral.